RNAcentral lists this long non-coding RNA (771 nucleotides) under Olea europaea (common olive). Its description in RNAcentral is "long non-coding RNA (OEUR_LNC005228)". The record is from RNAcentral. Lineage: Eukaryota; Viridiplantae; Streptophyta; Magnoliopsida; Lamiales; Oleaceae.
ACGCGAAGAGGCCAAAUCAUAUCUCAAGUUAACAAAUAAAUAAAAUCAAUUUCCAUCUCUUAUUUGUUGGAAAAGCCGACGUGCUGCGAAAGUGAAUUUCAUCUCUUCUAGUAACCGAUUUGAACUUGAGCAAGUAAGUGACAUGAUGCUGAAGGUGAUAGUGUAGAGGGAAAUUUUAGGGAAAAAGUUGUCCUUCUUUUAUUUGUUAAUUUCACUUUUUCCCAUUAUUCUUCCAUUUCUAUUUCAUAGCUGUUAUUUAUUUGUUGUUUCCAUUUCCAUUUCUGUUAUUUUCAUUUUUUUUCUUUUAUUCGUUAACUUAGAUAUGAAUUUACGAAAAUGAGAUUAAUAUUAAUUGAGUUAUUAAUAUGAAUUCAUUUGUCCAAUUUCUUUCCUUUUUCUGUCAAAUGGAGAUGAAUAUGAAUUUACGAAAUUUCGUAUUCUUCAGAAUCUAUGUUCAUAAAGCCUGAUCACCAAAGGGCAAUCCAAGUCGAAGAUCUGUCUUCUAUGUUGAAGACUACUGCUAAAAUAAUUGAAGAACACGACGUUUACAUUUCUCUCCUAAAUAUUGGUAUCCACAAGAGAAAAGGAGACAUGGAGAAGAAAGGGAAACAUAAGGAAGGAGCUCCAUAAAAUGUUUUCACCUACGUUAUUCAUAAAACAAUGUUGACUGUGAUUGUUCUUUGGUGUACGAAUUUCAUUGUAAUCAUGAUAUGUUAUUCGAUCAUUACUGCAUAUGUAUUCAUUAACAAGUUAGAACAAUAUGAAUUGCCA